Molecule: ribosomal RNA, 253 nt
Filed under: uncultured bacterium
Lineage: Bacteria
Description: partial 16S ribosomal RNA
Rfam family: Bacterial small subunit ribosomal RNA
Source: RNAcentral
UACGGAGGGUGCAAGCAUUAAUCGGAAUUAUUGGGCGUAAAGGGCGCGUAGGCUGAUUGACAAGUCAGAUGUGAAAUACCAAAGCUCAACUUUGGUGCUGCAUUUGAAACUGUUAGUCUCGAGGGUUGACGGAGAAAACGGAAUUCCACGUGUAGCGGUGAAAUGCGUAGAUAUGUGGAAGAACACCAGUGGCGAAAGCGGUUUUCUAGUUUAUACCUGACGCUGAGGCGCGAGAGCAAGGGGAGCAAACAGG